GACGAACGCUGGCGGCGUGCUUAACACAUGCAAGUCGAACGGAAAGGCCCUGCUUUUGUGGGGUGCUCGAGUGGCGAACGGGUGAGUAACACGUGAGUAACCUGCCCUUGACUUUGGGAUAACUUCAGGAAACUGGGGCUAAUACCGGAUAGGAGCUCCUGCUGCAUGGUGGGGGUUGGAAAGUUUCGGCGGUUGGGGAUGGACUCGCGGCUUAUCAGUUUGUUGGUGGGGUAGUGGCUUACCAAGGCUUUGACGGGUAGCCGGCCUGAGAGGGUGACCGGCCACAUUGGGACUGAGAUACGGCCCAGACUCCUACGGGAGGCAGCAGUGGGGAAUAUUGCACAGUGGGCGGAAGCCUGAUGCAGCAACGCCGCGUGCGGGAUGACGGCCUUCGGGUUGUAAACCGCUUUCGCCUGUGACGAAGCGUGAGUGACGGUAAUGGGUAAAGAAGCACCGGCUAACUACGUG
Molecule: ribosomal RNA, 468 nt
Filed under: uncultured bacterium
Lineage: Bacteria
Description: partial 16S ribosomal RNA
Rfam family: Bacterial small subunit ribosomal RNA
Source: RNAcentral